UCUCAGGCUUGUGUAUGAGUUUUUGAUAUCAUUCUGCACUUUAUCAGAUCAGAUGCUAAUCAAAUUCUAGCCCCAAGUUUAGGCUUAAUUUUUUUUUUUUAAUCUCAAGGUGUUCUUGAUUCAAUCAGGCACACCCUUGAUUCCCCUGUCCUGGAGCUCUGCCCCUAGUUUUUGGUAAAGAGAUCCUGGGGAAACUCCCCCUGAGAACUGGGUCCUCAUUUCAAACCCAGCCUGGGAUUCCUGGUUUUACUCUGGACACUGGAGGAUCAGUCCACUUCAGCACAGAUUGCUCUUGACUGGCACUCCAGACUUCUCCACAGUUACAUAUAGAAAUAAUUUUUGAGAGUUGAACUUGGAGUUGAACUGGAAGAUCAGUCACUUGGACUUGGAGAGAAGAACAGUCACUUGGAGCUAGAGGGAAGACAGACACUCGAGGAGAGACUGGAACACAGGCACUCAGACUUGUAGUGAAGACACUUGGCUGUGGAACUGGACCCCUGGAGGAGCUCUUGCAGGAGACCUCAGACCGCUUUCCUUUUAGAUGUGGAAGUGAGAUCGAAAAAGGAGCACAGACUUCAUCUAUAUAGUGCUAUAGAAGCACGGACUUCACCUGAAUAGUGCCAAAAAAAGAGCACACAGAAAAAAAGAAAAGAAACCAAUCAAGGUGGGAUUGAUGAACUUCUACGCCAAUAUGAAAGGACUUGAACCUAGUGUGAGACUCAGGGUUGCAGCAUGUUAAGAUGCAGGGCUCCUUGAAACACACUCCUUGUAAAAUAAUUUCUAUCAAAGUACCUAAAAAUUGGCUGUUCUGGCUCCCCUAUUCGUGAGAGAUAAUGAAAGAUCAUACAAGGGAAUGACACUUUCCUUUUACACAAAAAUCUAGUCCUUUUUUCUCUCUGAAAGUAUAGAAACUUCCUACAGGACUUAUAAUGUGCAAAUACAGUAUUAUUGCAUUUUUUCCCUACACAUUUGUGGGAUAGAAAUUGACUUUAAUUGGACCCUAAUACAAGAACCUGUUAUGAAUUUAUUCUUGUUUUAUUCAGAACUUUUGUAUACAUAGACUUUUGAUAUUUUGAAUCUGAAUUAAAUUUUUUUUAUUUCUACCAAA
This 1108-nucleotide long non-coding RNA is filed under the name Monodelphis domestica (gray short-tailed opossum). Its description in RNAcentral is "lncRNA (ENSMODG00000037482.1)". Lineage: Eukaryota; Metazoa; Chordata; Mammalia; Didelphimorphia; Didelphidae. The record is from RNAcentral.